Homo sapiens (human) is the source of this 1099-nucleotide long non-coding RNA. RefSeq lists it as uncharacterized. Lineage: Eukaryota; Metazoa; Chordata; Mammalia; Primates; Hominidae. The transcript has 2 exons. The record is from RefSeq and is a predicted model, not a curated record.
CGAAACAUGCAGGCUGAAGAGCAAGUUCAUCAAGCUCUUGCAAAACAAGGCAUCCUCUAGGAAUAGGAAGAAAAGCAAAUUAAAAGAAAAGAAGUAAACACCAAGAGUGGCAAAGAACACAGGUUUAAGAAGGUUGAAGGCACCAAAGAUCAACACAGGAUUCUUUCUGUGGUGUUUCACUCUACCCUGAACAAACAAAACAAAAGCAGUAUGUUCUUGCCCUGUAUGGCUGCAUGUAAGUAUGCUGUGGUAGACGCAUUACACAGGAAAGAAUACAUCUUAUAGGUCUUAUAUUAACUCAGGUGUAUAAUUAAACACAUUAUGUAAAAUAAGCUCAAUUUCAAGAGGACAUUUAGAUAUACACUUUUAUGAUGCAAUAAUCCUUGCCUUCUGAGGAAUGCUAAAUGGGAUUAAGUUAGCGGUACUAGUACCUGAGGAGAGGAGGGCUCCAGUAACUUGGACAAACUGGUAAGAACCGUGACUAGCAGGAGGGCUUCUUUGCUAUUAAAAUCUUCCUCUUGACUGCUAAGUAAAUUCAACAAGGACCUCUGAGAAAGGAAGGCACACACAGCAAGCAAUGUUAGCAGACACGUUCCUAUCAGGAAGAAGAGGCAUCUAGUCAGAGACUCCUAAGACUAGGACAGAAAGAAUUCAAAGCUACCAAAAUUCUAAGAGGAUAAAAUCUGAAAAUACACCUGAAUUGAGCAGUAGUUUCCUAAGCUGUUUUUGACCAUAAACCUCUCUGAGAAUGCUCCUGAAAACUGACUCUUUCCGUUCCAACCCCAUGCAAAAUGUAGAUAAUGAACUAUGUACCCAAUUUCUGGUGGCUCACAGCUCCCUGGAGCCUAUCCAUUGAUCUCAGGCUUAGACAAGGCACCAAACCCAGCAAUGCUUAUAUACCUUCCCUGUUACCUGAAAUAACUAUGUAUUUGAUUAUUUGUCAGUGUCUUUCUACUAUAAUGUAAGCUCCAUAAGGAUAGGAAUAUUUUGUCUCUUUUGUUCCCUGCUACAUCCCCAGCACCUAGAACUGUUUCUGGCACAUGGUAGGAACUUCAGAAUUACUUGUUAAAUAAAAAACUCCUGUGAUAGAACAUCCUGA